GAUGAACGCUGGCGGCGUGCCUAAUACAUGCAAGUCGAGCGAACGGACGAGAAGCUUGCUUCUCUGAUGUUAGCGGCGGACGGGUGAGUAACACGUGGAUAACCUACCUAUAAGACUGGGAUAACUUCGGGAAACCGGAGCUAAUACCGGAUCAUAUUUUGAACCGCAUGGUUCAAAAGUGAAAGACGGUCUUGCUGUCACUUAUAGAUGGAUCCGCGCUGCAUUAGCUAGUUGGUAAGGUAACGGCUUACCAAGGCAACGAUGCAUAGCCGACCUGAGAGGGUGAUCGGCCACACUGGAACUGAGACACGGUCCAGACUCCUACGGGAGGCAGCAGUAGGGAAUCUUCCGCAAUGGGCGAAAGCCUGACGGAGCAACGCCGCGUGAGUGAUGAAGGUCUUCGGAUCGUAAAACUCUGUUAUUAGGGAAGAACAUAUGUGUAAGUAACUGUGCACAUCUUGACGGUACCUAAUCAGAAAGCAACGGCUAACUACGUG
RNAcentral lists this ribosomal RNA (497 nucleotides) under uncultured bacterium. Its description in RNAcentral is "partial 16S ribosomal RNA". It matches the Rfam family "Bacterial small subunit ribosomal RNA", at positions 28 to 507 of the family's 1533-position model. The record is from RNAcentral.